CAGUUUUGGCGGAGCCAUCCUUGGGAUACCACCCUUGUAGUACUGGGACUCUAACCAUAGGCCAUGAAUCUGGUCUUGGGACACUGUCAGGUGGGCAGUUUGACUGGGGCGGUCGCCUCCCAAAAGGUAACGGAGGCGCUCAAAGGUUCUCUCAGUACGGUCGGAAAUCGUACGUAGAGUGUAAAGGCAAAAGAGAGCUUGAUUGCAAGACAUACAGGGCGAGCAAGGAUGAAAAUCGGACUUAGUGAUCCGGUGGUUCUGCGUGGAAGGGCCAUCGCUCAACGGAUAAAAGCUACCCUGGGGAUAACAGGCUUAUCUCCCCCAAGAGUCCACAUCGACGGGGCGGUUUGGCACCUCGAUGUCGGCUCAUCACAUCCUGGGGCUGUAGUAGGUCCC
RNAcentral lists this ribosomal RNA (396 nucleotides) under Clostridioides difficile. Its description in RNAcentral is "bacterial LSU rRNA". It matches the Rfam family "Bacterial large subunit ribosomal RNA", at positions 2172 to 2566 of the family's 2925-position model. Lineage: Bacteria; Bacillati; Bacillota; Clostridia; Peptostreptococcales; Peptostreptococcaceae. The record is from RNAcentral.